GAUGAACGCUGGCGGCGUGCCUAAUACAUGCAAGUCGAGCGAAGAGGGGACGGGUGAGUAACACGUGGGUAACCUCCUAUAAGACUGGGAUAAAUUCCGGAAACCGGAGCUAAACCGGAUACUUAACGCUGGAUCGACGCUGCAUUAGGUAGUGGGUAAGGUAACGGCUUACCAAGGCAACGAUGGAUAGCCGACCUGAGAGGGUGAUCGGCCACACUGGAACUGAGACACGGUCCAGACUCCUACGGGAGGCAGCAGUAGGGAAUCUUCCGCAAUGGGCGAAAGCCUGACGGAGCAACGCCGCGUGAGUGAUGAAGGUCUUCGGAUCGUAAAACUCUGUUAUUAGGGAAGCGGUACCUACUCAGAAAGCCACGGCUAACUCCGUGCCAGCCGCCGCGGUAAUAC
Molecule: ribosomal RNA, 405 nt
Filed under: uncultured bacterium
Lineage: Bacteria
Description: partial 16S ribosomal RNA
Rfam family: Bacterial small subunit ribosomal RNA
Source: RNAcentral